RNAcentral lists this ribosomal RNA (133 nucleotides) under uncultured bacterium. RNAcentral describes it as "partial 16S ribosomal RNA". It matches the Rfam family "Bacterial small subunit ribosomal RNA", at positions 355 to 479 of the family's 1533-position model. The record is from RNAcentral.
UGGGGAAUCUUGGACAAUGGGCGAAAGCCUGACGCAGCAACGCCGCGUGAGUGAUGAAGGAUUUCGGUUCGUAAAGCUCUGUCAAGUGGGAAGAAGUUAUUAUGUGUUAAUAGCACAUAGUAUUGACGGUACC